GAUGAACGCUAGCGGCAGGCUUAAUACAUGCAAGUCGAGGGGUAACAUGGUAGCAAUACUGAUGACGACCGGCAAACGGGUGCGGAACACGUACAGAACCUUCCUUUAAGCGGGGGAUAGCCCGGAGAAAUCCGGAUUAAUACCCCAUAGUAAUAUUUGGUGGCAUCAUCGGGUAUUUAAAGAUUUAUCACUUAAAGAUGGCUGUGCGGCUGAUUAGGUAGUUGGUGUGGGUAACGCCCACCAAGCCAGCGAUCAGUAACUGGUGUGAGAGCACGACCAGUCACACGGGCACUGAGACACGGGCCCGACUCCUACGGGAGGCAGCAGUAAGGAAUAUUGGUCAAUGGACGCAAGUCUGAACC
This 362-nucleotide ribosomal RNA is filed under the name uncultured bacterium. Its description in RNAcentral is "bacterial SSU rRNA". It matches the Rfam family "Bacterial small subunit ribosomal RNA", at positions 28 to 389 of the family's 1533-position model. The record is from RNAcentral.